RNAcentral lists this ribosomal RNA (557 nucleotides) under uncultured bacterium. RNAcentral describes it as "partial 16S ribosomal RNA". It matches the Rfam family "Bacterial small subunit ribosomal RNA", at positions 355 to 905 of the family's 1533-position model. The record is from RNAcentral.
UGGGGAAUUUUGGACAAUGGGGGGAAACCCUGAUCCAGCCAUCCCGCGUGUGCGAUGAAGGCCUUCGGGUUGUAAAGCACUUUUGGCAGGAAAGAAACGUCGCGGGUUAAUACCCCGCGAAACUGACGGUACCUGCAGAAUAAGACCGGCUAACUACGUGCCAGCAGCCGCGGUAAUACGUAGGGUGCAAGCGUUAAUCGGAAUUACUGGGCGUAAAGCGUGCGCAGGCGGUUCGGAAAGAAAGAUGUGAAAUCCCAGAGCUUAACUUUGGAACUGCAUUUUUAACUACGGGCUAGAGUGUGUCAGAGGGAGGUGGAAUUCCGCGUGUAGCAGUGAAAUGCGUAGAUAUGCGGNGGAACACCGAUGGCGAAGGCAGCCUCCUGGGAUAACACUGACGCUCAUGCACGAAAGCGUGGGGAGCAAACAGGUUAGAUACCCUGGUAGUCCACGCCCUAAACGAUGUCAACUAGCUGUUGGGGCCUUCGGGCCUUGGUAGGCGCAGGCUAACGCGUGAAGUUGACCGCCUGGGGAGUACGGUCGCAAGAUUAAAACUUAAA